UCCGGUUUGUCACCGGCAGUCUCAUUAGAGUGCCCAACUAAAUGUAGGGGUUGCGCUCGUUGCAGGACUUAACCUAACACCUCACGGCACGAGCUGACGACAGCCAUGCAGCACCUGUACAAGACCCCUUGCGGGUAAUCCCCUUUCAGGGACUAGAAUCUUGCCUUUCAAACCCAGGUAAGGUUCUUCGCGUUGCAUCGAAUUGAACCACAUGCUCCACUGCUUGUGCGGGCCCCCGUCAAUUCCUUUGAGUUUCAACCUUGCGAUCGUACUCCCCAGGUGGAAUACUUAAUGCGUUAGCUUUGGCACCGAGCCUUACGACCCGACACCAAGUAUUCAUCGUUUAAGGUGUGGACUAC
Molecule: unclassified non-coding RNA, 359 nt
Filed under: uncultured Ignavibacteria bacterium
Lineage: Bacteria; Pseudomonadati; Ignavibacteriota; Ignavibacteria
Description: contains 16S-23S intergenic spacer region
Source: RNAcentral